This 253-nucleotide ribosomal RNA is filed under the name uncultured bacterium. RNAcentral's name for it is "partial 16S ribosomal RNA". It matches the Rfam family "Bacterial small subunit ribosomal RNA", at positions 524 to 776 of the family's 1533-position model. The record is from RNAcentral.
UACGGAGGGUGCAAGCGUUAAUCGGAAUUACUGGGCGUAAAGCGUGCGCAGGCGGUUUGUCACGUCGGGAGUGAAAACCCAGGGCUCAACCCUGGGCCUGCUUCCGAUACGGGCAGACUAGAGGUAUGCAGGGGAGAAUGGAAUUCCUGGUGUAGCGGUGAAAUGCGCAGAUAUCAGGAGGAACACCGGUGGCGAAGGCGGGUAGCUGGGCCGACACUGACGCUGAUGCGCGAAAGCCAGGGGAGCGAACGGG